Non-coding RNA from Pimephales promelas (fathead minnow), 652 nucleotides. Lineage: Eukaryota; Metazoa; Chordata; Actinopteri; Cypriniformes; Leuciscidae. The record is from RefSeq and is a predicted model, not a curated record.
GUUACAAACUGAAACAGGAAGUGUUUCUGGACCAGUGUUGUUUACAUCUUUUGAAAUGGUCUAUAGGCGCCAAUUUUGCAGAUGUGGAAACUAACGUUCGUUGACAGAGUGACUACAUUUUUAUCUGGAGCCUCGCUACGUUUUUGGAGUAAGUUAAUAAUAAGUGGAACCUCUCAUUGCAUCAAAGAUGGAGCAGACCUUCUCAAUGUGAAGACAUGAGAUUGUGGGCAGAUGGAGCAGUGCAUUGGAGCUCUUUUUACAGAGAGACAAGUGUUUGCAGAGUUUGAAAGGAUAGUCACCACAGAUCUGCAGACAGCAGAGUAACUUUAAUGGUGCUGUGGAUCUCUACACACCACGCUUUGUCACAAUCUUCAAGUCUUCAAGAAGCAUUGGAGAGAAAUUGGAUGGGCUUAUGCAGCAAAUUAAUACAGAGGUAUGUGAUAUUGAUGAAGCCUGGGCACAAGUAUCUGUUGGGGACUGUCAUUGAUGAAGAACUUCUCUCUCUCUAACUCUCUGUCUACUGCCAUCAUUGUUGAGAGAGGUAUUGUAAUGGAUAAUCUGCAGAACCUGCCUCAGGCAAUUUGCAUCUAUUUUGGUCAGUCUUAUGCUUUAAAUUUGGAUUUCGCAAAAGAAAUAAACACUUUUAACUUCA